Oryza nivara is the source of this 208-nucleotide non-coding RNA. Lineage: Eukaryota; Viridiplantae; Streptophyta; Magnoliopsida; Poales; Poaceae. The record is from Rfam.
AAAAAAACAAACCCUGAAUUUCCAUGUCCAACAUUUGACCGUCCGUCUUAUUUGAUAAAAUUAUAAAAAAAAUUUAAAAAUAUAAGUCACGCAUAAAGUAUUAAUCAUGUUUUAUCAUAUAACAAUAAUGAAAAUACUAAUUAUAAAAAAAUUUCAUAUAAGACGGAUAGUCAAAUGUUGGACAUGGAAACCCAGGGUUUGCCUUUUU